Long non-coding RNA from Triticum aestivum (bread wheat), 1326 nucleotides. RefSeq lists it as uncharacterized. The record is from RefSeq and is a predicted model, not a curated record. The transcript has 2 exons. NCBI's taxonomy places the organism in Eukaryota, Viridiplantae, Streptophyta, Magnoliopsida, Poales, Poaceae.
GAACCUUUUUCUGAAGCAUGAUGUGAUGCUUGCACUAAGAACAGAUAUGCAGAUAGUGAGGCCGUAGUAGCUAACUUUGCAAGCUAAUUAAUAAUUAGUGGCGACCGAGGCAAAUUGGUCUUCUUCCUUCCCACCAUACAUACACCCAUCAUGGUCAUGGGCCCGUGACCUCAUAGUCCUCAUCGAUAGGUGGUGGAUUUAUUCCAGCCCAUCACAACUGACCACUCCUUUUCGAAAAAAUCACAACUGACCACUCACCUAGACUAGCUAGGAAUCCUCUCUUCAUUCAAAAAGAAAGUCAGGAUUCACAAUCAAACCACCGAGAGAGGCACAAGAGACUCCGGUCCGGGUCCGGGUUGGCGCAAAAUGGAGAAAACAAGGACAGACCAUGUUGAACCCUUUCUUUAUUUUCAUAUAUACUUCCUCCGUUCCUAAAUAUUUGUCUUUUUAGAGGUUUCAAAUGGUGACUACAUGCGGAACAAAAUGAGUGAAUCUACACUCUAAAAUAUGUCUAUAUACAUCCGUAUGUGGUGACCAUUUGAAAUCUCUAGAAAGACAAAUAUUUAGGAACGGAGGGAGUACUACAAAAACCGAUAUUUAACUUCCCCGACUCAUGUAGUAGCAACUAAACUGGUCCAUUUGGGAGUUCUGAGAGAUUUUUGUCUAUGAUUUCUAGAGGUCGACUAGCACCAAGCCGUGUGUUCCACACCUACAAAAGACAAACUUGUCGAUGACAAACAGCAACCACCAUGGCCGAUGUGUGGGCCCAUCGAGCUGUGUUAGUACAAAACAGUGUUGCCACUUGUGCUUAGGUGGCUGUGGUGAGUAAAAAAAACUGUGGCACAGGUGCGGCUAGCUGCCUUCCCGGCCUAUAAAACCCCACCCACUCCUUCCCGUUCCAAUCCUACAUCUUCCCAAAGCCACAGGAGAGGAGAGCAGAGCAGAGCACAACCCUUGGACACCUCUUCUUCUUCUUCCAUAGUAACCCAACCCACCCUUUGCGAAGAUGUAUAACGCUCCGUCGGGGCAGGAGAUGUCCUACACGGAGCACGUGCAGAAGCGCCACGAGGAGAAGGGCUGCAUCUACGCAUGCGUGUUCACAGCGCUGUGCUGCUUCUGCUGCUACGAGACAUGCGAGUGCUGCCUCGACUGCCUCUGCUGCUGCUGCAACUAAACCGGACAUGGCCGCCAUGGACGGAGGCCGCAAGGCGCAGAGGAGAUCCACCGGCCUCCGCCGCCUUUCAUAAUAAGCAUAUGUGUCUAGUGUCUUAGCUCGAUGAGAACUGUAUCACAACUUUGCUAUAAUACUAUCUGUCCUUGUAAUCA